AGGCAGCUAGUCUAUAAACAAGACCUUUGAUUUCGACUCAAACAAUCAUGACUAAACCCAUGGCCGCCUU
This 70-nucleotide transfer RNA is filed under the name Maurolicus muelleri (pearlsides). RNAcentral describes it as "tRNA-Arg". The record is from RNAcentral. Lineage: Eukaryota; Metazoa; Chordata; Actinopteri; Stomiiformes; Sternoptychidae.